This 574-nucleotide ribosomal RNA is filed under the name uncultured bacterium. RNAcentral's name for it is "bacterial SSU rRNA". It matches the Rfam family "Bacterial small subunit ribosomal RNA", at positions 8 to 567 of the family's 1533-position model. The record is from RNAcentral.
AGGGUUUGAUUAUGGCUCAGGAUGAACGCUGGCGGCGUGCUUAAUACAUGCAAGUCGAGCGAUCGGCCUCGGGGUGGCAACACUCCGAGGUACGGAGCGGCGAACGGGUGAGUAACACGUGAGGAACCUGCCUCGGAGACGGGGAUAACGUUGGGAAACCAACGCUAAUACCCGAUGACCCCGUAGAAGGACAUCCUUCAGCGGGCAAAAGGUUGGGCAACCUUCUGCUUCGGGAGGGCCUCACGGCCUAUCAGCUUGUUGGCGGGGUAACGGCCCACCAAGGCGAUGACGGGUAGCUGGCGUGAGAGCGCGACCAGCCACACCGGGACUGAGACACGGCCCGGACUCCUACGGGAGGCAGCAGUAGGGAAUCUUGGACAAUGGGCGAAAGCCUGAUCCAGCGACGCCGCGUGGGGGACGAAGGCCCUCGGGUUGUAAACCCCUGUUGUUGGGAAAGAAGCCGGCCUUUAGGUCGGUGACGGUACCCAACGAGGAAGCCCCGGCUAACUACGUGCCAGCAGCCGCGGUAAGACGUAGGGGGCGAGCGUUAUCCGGAUUCACUGGGCGUAAAGGG